RNAcentral lists this ribosomal RNA (1524 nucleotides) under Salmonella enterica subsp. enterica. Its description in RNAcentral is "bacterial SSU rRNA". It matches the Rfam family "Bacterial small subunit ribosomal RNA". Lineage: Bacteria; Pseudomonadati; Pseudomonadota; Gammaproteobacteria; Enterobacterales; Enterobacteriaceae. The record is from RNAcentral. RNAcentral also lists the same sequence under 1 other name.
AAAUUGAAGAGUUUGAUCAUGGCUCAGAUUGAACGCUGGCGGCAGGCCUAACACAUGCAAGUCGAACGGUAACAGGAAGCAGCUUGCUGCUUUGCUGACGAGUGGCGGACGGGUGAGUAAUGUCUGGGAAACUGCCUGAUGGAGGGGGAUAACUACUGGAAACGGUGGCUAAUACCGCAUAACGUCGCAAGACCAAAGAGGGGGACCUUCGGGCCUCUUGCCAUCAGAUGUGCCCAGAUGGGAUUAGCUUGUUGGUGAGGUAACGGCUCACCAAGGCGACGAUCCCUAGCUGGUCUGAGAGGAUGACCAGCCACACUGGAACUGAGACACGGUCCAGACUCCUACGGGAGGCAGCAGUGGGGAAUAUUGCACAAUGGGCGCAAGCCUGAUGCAGCCAUGCCGCGUGUAUGAAGAAGGCCUUCGGGUUGUAAAGUACUUUCAGCGGGGAGGAAGGUGUUGUGGUUAAUAACCGCAGCAAUUGACGUUACCCGCAGAAGAAGCACCGGCUAACUCCGUGCCAGCAGCCGCGGUAAUACGGAGGGUGCAAGCGUUAAUCGGAAUUACUGGGCGUAAAGCGCACGCAGGCGGUCUGUCAAGUCGGAUGUGAAAUCCCCGGGCUCAACCUGGGAACUGCAUUCGAAACUGGCAGGCUUGAGUCUUGUAGAGGGGGGUAGAAUUCCAGGUGUAGCGGUGAAAUGCGUAGAGAUCUGGAGGAAUACCGGUGGCGAAGGCGGCCCCCUGGACAAAGACUGACGCUCAGGUGCGAAAGCGUGGGGAGCAAACAGGAUUAGAUACCCUGGUAGUCCACGCCGUAAACGAUGUCUACUUGGAGGUUGUGCCCUUGAGGCGUGGCUUCCGGAGCUAACGCGUUAAGUAGACCGCCUGGGGAGUACGGCCGCAAGGUUAAAACUCAAAUGAAUUGACGGGGGCCCGCACAAGCGGUGGAGCAUGUGGUUUAAUUCGAUGCAACGCGAAGAACCUUACCUGGUCUUGACAUCCACGGAACUUUCCAGAGAUGGAUUGGUGCCUUCGGGAACCGUGAGACAGGUGCUGCAUGGCUGUCGUCAGCUCGUGUUGUGAAAUGUUGGGUUAAGUCCCGCAACGAGCGCAACCCUUAUCCUUUGUUGCCAGCGGUCCGGCCGGGAACUCAAAGGAGACUGCCAGUGAUAAACUGGAGGAAGGUGGGGAUGACGUCAAGUCAUCAUGGCCCUUACGACCAGGGCUACACACGUGCUACAAUGGCGCAUACAAAGAGAAGCGACCUCGCGAGAGCAAGCGGACCUCAUAAAGUGCGUCGUAGUCCGGAUUGGAGUCUGCAACUCGACUCCAUGAAGUCGGAAUCGCUAGUAAUCGUGGAUCAGAAUGCCACGGUGAAUACGUUCCCGGGCCUUGUACACACCGCCCGUCACACCAUGGGAGUGGGUUGCAAAAGAAGUAGGUAGCUUAACCUUCGGGAGGGCGCUUACCACUUUGUGAUUCAUGACUGGGGUGAAGUCGUAACAAGGUAACCGUAGGGGAACCUGC